This 994-nucleotide long non-coding RNA is filed under the name Homo sapiens (human). Its description in RNAcentral is "HSALNT0206231". Lineage: Eukaryota; Metazoa; Chordata; Mammalia; Primates; Hominidae. The record is from RNAcentral.
GGCUGCAAUUCCUUUUUAGCAUUUUGCCUCUUUCUCUAAAUAUUCUAAGCACAACUUGUAUAUACUGCUCACAGAGAUACCCAUAGAUCAAACUCGCAAAAGUGCAUUUGAACAAAGGGCUUAAACACUCAAAUAAUUAAAUUGCAGGCUUUCCUAUUGAUGUAAAAGACAUAUUAUUUUUGCUUAAACCUAAUAGUCAAUGGAUUAUGAAAUUUAAUACCAUUAAAUGUACCACCUGGAAAAAAAAGUUGAUAAUCUAUGAUGCAUGCUCAGGAAUAAUUCUAUACAGCAUAUAUAUUGGUCACAGUAACUUUUGGAAACUUUGAAAUGUAUUGAAUAUAUUCCAAGUGAGUUGUCUUGUUCUUUUUUUUUUUUCUUCCCCACAUGGUUUUCAGCUGAUAGGCAGCCAUUUUGUGCCUAUCCCAGUUGGCAAAUAUAACACAAUUUGAUCUCUUUCCAUUCUUAGAAACAAUGAAGCCCUUUGUUUUUGCCUUUCAAGACGAUAAAUGGAAUUGCAGUCAUUCCUCCAGUGGCUAAUACCUGCCAGCAGAUCCUGAAAGAUGUCAUUGAUUUCUAGAUGUAUCCUGAUUUCAAGCUAGGAUGUGGAGCACAUGUAACGGCAGCCUCGUCGAUAUCAGCUUCACGGAUGCCAUGUUGAGGUGGCUGCAGCUGUCAUUCUGUGUCAUGUCACUUUGCAUGGUGCCUUAUAAUGGAUGCUGACAUGAGGUAGCAGGCUGCCCUCACACCUAUGAAAGCAAACUUCAAAUGAAAGCAGGUGGCUCCUUCUUUGCUGCAGUAACUAGUGUGGCAAAUAAAAUAUUUAAUAAAUAUUUUAAUAAAUAAAUAAAUAAUACAUAAAUUUAAUUUUUAAUAUAUUUAAUGAACAAAUUUAAUAAAUAAAAUAUUUAAUGAAUAAAUAAAAUAAAAUCUAAUUGUGGAGAAGGAUAUUAUAUUGCUAAAAUUGAACUGCAUCUAGUAAUUCCUGAUAAUAAAA